GACGAACGCUGGCGGCGUGCCUAAUACAUGCAAGUCGAGCGAAGCGGCGGAUGGGGGAGUAAAGCGUGGGUAACCUGCCCUUACGGCUGGGAUAACAUUUGGAAACAGAUGCUAAUAACGGAUACUAAAGAAUGGACCUACAAUGCAGUAGCUAGUGGGUAAGGUAACGGCUUACCAAGGCUAUGAUGCAUAGCCGAGUUGAGAUACUGAUCGGCCACAGUGGGACUGAGACACGGCCCAAACUCCUACGGGAGGCAGCAGUAGGGAAUCUUCCACAAUGGACGAAAGUCUGAUGGAGCAACGCCGCGUGAGUGAAGAAGGUGUUCGGAUCGUAAAGCUCUGUUGUUGGUGAAGCGGUAAUCAACCAGAAAGUCACGGCUAACUACGUGCCAGCAGCCGCGGUAAUUC
This 408-nucleotide ribosomal RNA is filed under the name uncultured bacterium. RNAcentral describes it as "partial 16S ribosomal RNA". It matches the Rfam family "Bacterial small subunit ribosomal RNA", at positions 28 to 526 of the family's 1533-position model. The record is from RNAcentral.